Molecule: unclassified non-coding RNA, 343 nt
Filed under: soil metagenome
Description: partial contains 5.8S ribosomal RNA, internal transcribed spacer 2, and large subunit ribosomal RNA
Rfam family: 5.8S ribosomal RNA (bases 1-120)
Source: RNAcentral
GAUGAAGAACGCUGCGAAAUGCGAUAAGUAAUGUGAAUUGCAGAAUUCAGUGAAUCAUCGAAUCUUUGAACGCACAUUGCGCCCGCUAGUAUUCUGGCGGGCAUGCCUGUCCGAGCGUCAUUUCAACCCUCAAGCCCCCGGGCUUGGUGUUGGGGAUCGGCGAGCCUCCGCGCCCGCCGUCCCCUAAAUCUAGUGGCGGUCUCGCUGUAGCUUCCUCUGCGUAGUAGCACACCUCGCACUGGGAAACAGCGCGGCCACGCCGUUAAACCCCCAACUUCUGAACGUUUGACCUCGGAUCAGGUAGGAAUACCCGCUGAACUUAAGCAUAUCAAUAAGCGGAGGA